RNAcentral lists this ribosomal RNA (465 nucleotides) under uncultured bacterium. RNAcentral describes it as "SSU rRNA". It matches the Rfam family "Bacterial small subunit ribosomal RNA", at positions 26 to 518 of the family's 1533-position model. The record is from RNAcentral.
AGGACUAACGCUGGCGGCGUGCCUAACACAUGCAAGUCGAACGAAGUAGCAAUACUUAGUGGCAGACGGGUGAGUAACACGUAGUCAACCUGCCCUUCAAUGGGGGAUAACUAGCCGAAAGGUUAGCUAAUACCGCAUACGAUCUCUGAGUGGCAUCACUCGGCGAUGAAAGGAGUAAUCCGUUGAAGGAGGGGACUGCGUCCCAUUAGUUAGUUGGUGGGGUAAUGGCCUACCAAGACUCCGAUGGGUAGCUGGCUUGAGAGAGCGACCAGCCACACUGGAACUGAGACACGGUCCAGACUCCUACGGGAGGCAGCAGUGAGGAAUUUUCCGCAAUGGGGGAAACCCUGACGGAGCGACGCCGCGUGUGGGAAGAAGGCCUUGGGUCGUAAACCACUGUCGAGGGGACGAUAUUGACGGUACCCCCUGGAGGAAGCCCCGGCGUAACUACGUGCCAGCAGCCGC